GUUGCACCAAUCAGUGACGGUUCACAAUGACCGCAAGAACUACGUCGUACUGCGCACGUCUCCUUUGCUGAGAAAAAUCCAUCCACCUCAUAGGGGUUGCAUAUCAACAUGCUGAUUAGACAUCAUGAAAUUUGCACAGGUGUGCCUUGGAGGGUUGCGGGCGUGCUGGAGCCUAGCCCACCUGACUCUGGACGAGAGGCGGGGUACACACUGAACUGGUCGCCAGCCAAUCGCAGGGCACAUGUAAACAAACAACCAUUCAGACUCACAUUCACACCACAGCAAUUUAGAGUCUUCAAUUAGCCCACCAUGCAUGUUUUGGGGAUGUAGGAGGAAACAAAAGUAACUGGAGAAAACCCACGCAGGCAAGGCUGGAUUUUGAACCCAGGUCCUCAGAUGUGUUAAGCAGUCGUCCACCGUGUCGCAUAACUUUAUCCUCGUAAAAUUUAGAUUUUACUGUC
This is a long non-coding RNA of Phyllopteryx taeniolatus (common seadragon), 461 nucleotides long. RefSeq lists it as uncharacterized. The transcript has 3 exons. Lineage: Eukaryota; Metazoa; Chordata; Actinopteri; Syngnathiformes; Syngnathidae. The record is from RefSeq and is a predicted model, not a curated record.